Lemur catta (Ring-tailed lemur) is the source of this 534-nucleotide long non-coding RNA. RefSeq lists it as uncharacterized. The record is from RefSeq and is a predicted model, not a curated record. The transcript is spliced from 3 exons. NCBI's taxonomy places the organism in Eukaryota, Metazoa, Chordata, Mammalia, Primates, Lemuridae.
CCAGCCGUGCAAGGUAAAAAAGUCAAGAAGGCUUUUAGCUGCCUGAACAAAAGUCUGCCUUAGUCAAUGAGACCAAAGCUAUGGAAUCUGCCUGCCAUCAUUCACCUGAGGCACCUGAAUGAGUUAAUAAUUACCAAUAUGUCUGGAGGAUUAAAAUCACCCCUCUGUUACAGAUGAUAUGAGAAUGUUAAUCUGGAAUCCAGUAAUCAAUAAAUUUGAAGAUACACCUUUAGGUGGGAAAUAUUUACUGGACAACAUGGGAAUUUAAGUCCAACUGGAAGCUUGAGACACCAGAAAAAAUGCACAGGGAUCAUUGCAGGAAAAUGUUUCACAUUUUCAUUUUUAAAGUUUCUGCGCUUUAUAGCCCAAAAUACCCAACAAAUUACAAUUUACAAUUCAAAGAAAAUGCAGAGGUAAGACUGUUAUGACCACAUUCUUUAAUAACUUUUAAUAUUAAAAUUUUUUAAAACUUGACCGUUUAUUAAAUUCAGAAAAUAGUUGAGGACCAUCUAGCUCAUAUACAUGUUGAUGUUG